CUGAAGCACUAGAGUACGGUAGGGGUAGAGGGAAUUUCCAGUGUAGCGGUGAAAUGCGUAGAGAUGGGAAAGAACACCAGUGGCGAAGGCGCUCUACUGGACCGUAACUGACACUCAGGGACGAAAGCUAGGGUAGCGAAAGGGAUUAGAUACCCCUGUAGUCCUAGCUGUAAACGAUGGAUACUAGGCGUUGCUUGUAUCGACCCGAGCAGUGCCGUAGCCAACGCGUUAAGUAUCCCGCCUGGGGAGUACGCACGCAAGUGUGAAACUCAAAGGAAUUGACGGGGGCCCGCACAAGCGGUGGAGUAUGUGGUUUAAUUCGAUGCAACGCGAAGAACCUUACCAGGGCUUGACAUCCCGCGAAUCAGAGUGAAAGCUCUGAGUGCCUUCGGGAACGCGGAGACAGGUGGUGCAUGGCUGUCGUCAGCUCGUGUCGUGAGAUGUUGGGUUAAGUCCCGCAACGAGCGCAACCCUCGUCCUUAGUUGCCAGCAUUAAGUUGGGCACUUUAGGGAGACUGCCGGUGACAAACCGGAGGAAGGUGGGGAUGACGUCAAGUCAGCAUGCCCCUUACGCUCUGGGCUACACACGUACUACAAUGGUUGGGACAAAGGGCAGCAAGCUCGCGAGAGUAAGCGAAUCUCAGCAAACCCAGCCUCAGUUCAGAUUGCAGGCUGCAACUCGCCUGCAUGAAGGAGGAAUCGCUAGUAAUCGCAGGUCAGCAUACUGCGGUGAAUCCGUUCCCGGGCCUUGUACACACCGCCCGUCACACCAUGGAAGCUGGCCACGCCCGAAGUCGUUACCCUAACCGAUAAGGAGGGGGAUGCCGAAGGCAGGGCUGGUGACUGGGGUGAAGUCGUAACAAGGUAGCCGUACCGGAAGGUGUGGCUGGAUCACCUCCUUAAAG
Molecule: ribosomal RNA, 905 nt
Filed under: uncultured cyanobacterium
Lineage: Bacteria; Bacillati; Cyanobacteriota
Description: bacterial SSU rRNA
Rfam family: Bacterial small subunit ribosomal RNA
Source: RNAcentral